RNAcentral lists this ribosomal RNA (253 nucleotides) under uncultured bacterium. RNAcentral's name for it is "partial 16S ribosomal RNA". It matches the Rfam family "Bacterial small subunit ribosomal RNA", at positions 524 to 776 of the family's 1533-position model. The record is from RNAcentral.
UACAGAGGUGGCAAGCGUUGUUCGGAUUUACUGGGCGUAAAGGGUGCGUAGGCGGCAAGGUAUGUCAGAUGUGAAAGCUCACGGCUCAACCGUGAAAUUGCAUCUGAAACUGCUUUGCUAGAGUACUGGAGAGGUAAGUGGAAUUCUCGGUGUAGCGGUGAAAUGCGUAGAUAUCGAGAGGAACGCCGGUGGCGAAGGCGACUUACUGGACAGAUACUGACGCUGAGGCACGAAAGCUAGGGGAGCGAACAGG